UGCCAGCAGCCGCGGUAAUACGGAGGGUGCUAGCGUUGUUCGGAUUUACUGGGCGUAAAGGGCACGUAGGCUGUCUAUCAAGUUGGGAGUGAAAUCCCGGGGCUCAACCCCGGAACUGCUCUCAAAACUGAUAGACUAGAGUUAAGUAGAGGAUAGUGGAAUUCCCAGUGUAGAGGUGAAAUUCGUAGAUAUUGGGAGGAACACCAGAAGCGAAGGCGACUAUCUGGGCUUAUACUGACGCUGAGGUGCGAAAGUGUGGGGAGCAAACAGGAUUAGAUA
This 279-nucleotide ribosomal RNA is filed under the name uncultured bacterium. Its description in RNAcentral is "partial 16S ribosomal RNA". It matches the Rfam family "Bacterial small subunit ribosomal RNA", at positions 506 to 784 of the family's 1533-position model. The record is from RNAcentral.